UCAGCAGCUCUUCAGCUGCACACACCUCGCACCCACACAGUAUUCCUCUGUGAGCCUCAUGACAGAGUCUGCUGUCUGAAUGUCAAGGACAAAAUCAGAAAGCUCCAAGAGAAGGGCCGCAGCACCUCAUGUGUAAGAGAGGUCAACAUAUGGUGCUGAGCUGUACGGUGUGUAUGUGUGUGUAUCCGCGUGAACGAGAGGGGAAAACACAUGAGCUGUUAAAACAGAGUCAGAAUUACAUUGGCAAGCAAGCAGGGAGUGUAUUACGCAUGUACAUUGGAUGAGUGGCCGAGCGCGUGUCCGCCUCAGUGCAGUGGCUGAUGUAAUUUACACUGUCACAACAAGAGGCCGGUCGCAGGAUGACAGGGGAGCAAGGGAGAGCAAGGCACAGUGAUGACUGACCUGUCAGCACUGAUCAUUUUGUUUGUCAUGUGCAGCUUGGUAAAAGACGAGAACCUGUAGAGCUGGAAGGAGACCUGGGCGAGAGUUUCUUCUGGCUGAUGGUCAUUCGCGGUGAGCGUGAUUCGGUCAAGCAGGACAUGUUAUUGAAUCAACAUCAUAUUAACAUGGAAGCCAGGGUCUAAAAUUAGAUCCUGCCAAGUAAGUAAGUAAAGGUCAAUGUUUGCAACAAUGUUAGUAGCAAUUUAGAUGGUGACUUUUCUUAAUUAUUUUAAACAAUGCCGGAGCACAUGAUAUGAUUCAGCAUGAUUAUCCAACUGUAAAUAUGUAUGUAAAUCUGAUGUUCCGCAUGCUUCAAUGGUCUUUUGAUUCAAACAGCUUAUGAUAACAGUGUUUUCAGAGCCUCUGAGCAACUCAGAUUGUGUUGACUUAAUACUGUGCAUGUGAAAGUGCAACACGGACAAAACAUCUUUCCAAGUUACAAAUGAGAAUGUUUAAAAAAAAAUCUGUUGUCAACAACAUAGAAGUACUCGAGAAUAUAAAUGUUUUCUUGCAGUUUACAGCGAAAUAAAAUCUCUAUGGUUUAAA
Danio rerio (zebrafish) is the source of this 987-nucleotide non-coding RNA. The record is from RefSeq and is a predicted model, not a curated record. NCBI's taxonomy places the organism in Eukaryota, Metazoa, Chordata, Actinopteri, Cypriniformes, Danionidae.